Molecule: long non-coding RNA, 429 nt
Filed under: Elaeis guineensis (African oil palm)
Lineage: Eukaryota; Viridiplantae; Streptophyta; Magnoliopsida; Arecales; Arecaceae
Description: long non-coding RNA (EGUI_LNC010604)
Source: RNAcentral
GACCGAAGACACUCGGUCGUCCCCGGAGGUGGAGGCUUCUUCACUUUCGGGGCCGAACGUCGAUCGGCUCCGGGAGCAGUACCGCGUCUCGGAGCAGUUUCGGCUGUUCGCCCCUGGCGCUGAUGGUCGGGUCAAUAGCCCGCCCGAGGGUCAGGUGGCGUUCUAUCUGGAGGAUCUUCGGGCCGGCCUUCGAUUCCCGGUUCCGGAGUUCGUCCGGAACAUUCUGGACUAUUACGGGCUAUGCCCGGCACAACUUGCGUCGAACUCGGUUCGGCUGAUAGUCAGCUUUGCCCUCUUGUGUCGGCUUUUGCCGACCGAACCUCGGAUCUCUCUUUUCCGAGUUUUCUUUGUUCUCCGUCCCCAUCCUAAAGCCCGAGGGUGGUGGUACUUCAUCCCUCGGAAAGGGCUCUCCUUCAUUACUGGUCUUCC